This 253-nucleotide ribosomal RNA is filed under the name uncultured bacterium. RNAcentral describes it as "partial 16S ribosomal RNA". It matches the Rfam family "Bacterial small subunit ribosomal RNA", at positions 524 to 776 of the family's 1533-position model. The record is from RNAcentral.
UACGAGGGGGGCGAGCGUUGUUCGGAAUUAUUGGGCGUAAAGGGUGCGUAGGCGGUUUGGUAAGUCUUGUGUGAAAUCUUCGGGCUCAACUCGAAGUCUGCACCAGAAACUGCCGGGCUUGAGUGUGGGAGAGGUGAGUGGAAUUCCCGGUGUAGCGGUGAAAUGCGUAGAGAUCCGGAGGAACACCAAAGGCGAAGGCAGUGUCCUGGGGAGUACCUGACGCUCAGGUGCGAAAGCCAGGGGAGCGAACGGG